Long non-coding RNA from Neofelis nebulosa (Clouded leopard), 587 nucleotides. RefSeq lists it as uncharacterized. The record is from RefSeq and is a predicted model, not a curated record. NCBI's taxonomy places the organism in Eukaryota, Metazoa, Chordata, Mammalia, Carnivora, Felidae. The transcript is spliced from 2 exons.
CCCUGAAAAAAGUCGCGUCAAAAACCAGCGGGGAGACUGGAAUGCGCAAGCGCCGAGACACUCCCUACCCAUCACGUACCCCACCCUGGGCGGUUUUGGUCGUUGCGGGGCAAGUGACCACGUGACACCCACUGCCCUAGCUGCUCCAAACUAAGAUUAAUGGCCUUCCAUGGACUAGUCAGGCUCAGCUCUUCUCUUUUUCCAGGACUUCCUAUACACCUAUUCUAGGGUCUCCCCUGCAAUUCCAAACAACACAAGGAUGUGGUGCUAUGCUACAGUGAAGAAUAUUCCUCUGGACUUCUGCAGCUUUUUCCUGUAUGCUCAUCGAGCUUGCUGUCAGGCAGUCCUUCAGUAUGGGUUUGCCAGCGUGGGAGUUGUUCACAGCAGAAGUUGUUACUGAUGAGUGAUGCAGGGCUACAGAGGCAAGCCCUUUGGGAGUGCUGCUGGUGCAACAAGUAGUGCUUCCAGGUGGCAGAUUGCCUCAGCAUAAGAGAACAAGGUUCCGGUCUUUAGAUCUGUCAUAUGUUACACAGAACUCAGGGAAUCUUGUCAAUGACUUCAUGGAUAAUAAUCAGAGUGGAAUCAAA